This 484-nucleotide ribosomal RNA is filed under the name uncultured bacterium. RNAcentral describes it as "bacterial SSU rRNA". It matches the Rfam family "Bacterial small subunit ribosomal RNA", at positions 43 to 524 of the family's 1533-position model. The record is from RNAcentral.
CAGGCCUAACACAUGCAAGUCGGACGGGAUUUGGGAGCUUGCUCCUAAUGAGAGUGGCGCACGGGUGCGUAACACGUAUGUAACCUACCUUAAUCAGGGGGAUAGCCUCUCGAAAGAGAGAUUAACACCGCAUAACAUAUUUUUAUGGCAUCGUAGAAAUAUCAAAUAUUUAUAGGAUUAAGAUGGGCAUGCGGAACAUUAGCUAGUUGGUAAGGCAACGGCUUACCAAGGCUACGAUGUUUAGGGGAUCUGAGAGGAUGACCCCCCACACUGGUACUGAGACACGGACCAGACUCCUACGGGAGGCAGCAGUAAGGAAUAUUGGUCAAUGGGCGCAAGCCUGAACCAGCCAUGCCGCGUGCAGGAAGACGGCCCUAUGGGUUGUAAACUGCUUUUGUACCGGAAUAAACCCUUUUACGAGUAGAAGGCUGAAUGUACGGUAAGAAUAAGGAUCGGCUAACUCCGUGCCAGCAGCCGCGGUAAU